CCCAAGCUUCCAAGAAAAGCCACUAAGCUUCAGUCAUAUUGAAACCGUACCGCAAACCGACACAGGUGGGCAGGAUGAGAAUUCUAAGGCGCUUGAGAGAACCCGGGAGAAGGAACUCGGCAAAUUAGCACCGUAACUUCGGGAGAAGGUGCGCCCCGGUAGGUUGUAGAGAUUUACUCUCGAAGGCCGAUGGGGUUGCAGUGAAAAGGUGGCUGCGACUGUUUAAUAAAAACACAGCACUCUGCAAACACGAAAGUGGACGUAUAGGGUGUGACGCCUGCCCGGUGCCGGAAGGUUAAUUGAUGGGGUGCAAGCUCUUGAUCGAAGCCCCGGUAAACGGCGGCCGUAACAAUAACGGUCCUAAGGUAGCGAAAUUCCUUGUCGGGUAAGUUCCGACCCGCACGAAUGGCGUAACGAUGGCCACACUGUCUCCUCUCGGGACUCAGCGAAGUUGAAAUGUUUGUGAAGAUGCAAUCUACCCGCGGCUAGACGGAAAGACCCCAUGAACCUUUACUGUAGCUUUACAUUGGACUUUGACAAGAUUUGUGUAGGAUAGGUGGGAGACGUUGAAGUGGGGACGCUAGUUCUCAUGGAGUCAACCUUGAAAUACCACCCUGAUGUUGUUGAGGUUCUAACCUAGGUCCAUUAUCUGGAUCGGGGACCGUGUAUGGUGGGCAGUUUGACUGGGGCGGUCUCCUCCCAAAGAGUAACGGAGGAGUGCGAAGGUAACCUAGGUACGGUCGGAAAUCGUACUGAUAGUGCAAUGGCAUAAGGUUGCUUGACUGCGGGACGGACAGGUCGAGCAGGUGCGAAAGCAGGUCAUAGUGAUCCGGUGGUUCUGUAUGGAAGGGCCAUCGCUCAACGGAUAAAAGGUACUCUGGGGAUAACAGGCUGAUUCCUCCCAAGAGUUCAUAUCGACGGGGGAGUUUGGCACCUCGAUGUCGGCUCAUCACAUCCUGGGGCUGUAGCCAGUCCCAAGGGUAUGGCUGUUCGCCAUUUAAAGUGGUACGUGAGCUGGGUUUAAAACUCGUGAGACAGUUUGGUCCCUAUCUGCCGUGGGCGUUGGAAGUUUGAGGGGGGCUGCUCCUAGUACGAGAGGACCGGAGUGGACGGAUCUCUGGUGGACCGGUUGUCAUGCCAAUGGCAUAGCCGGGUAGCUAAAUCCGGAAGAGAUAAACGCUGAAAGCAUCUAAGCGUGAAACUUGCCUCAAGAUGAGACUUCCCUGUGCUUUAAGCACACUAAAGAGUCGUUCGAGACCAGGACGUUGAUAGGUCGGAUGUGGAAGUGCAGUAAUGCAUUAAGCUGACCGAUACUAAUUGCUCGUGAGGCUUGAUCCU
RNAcentral lists this ribosomal RNA (1338 nucleotides) under metagenome. Its description in RNAcentral is "bacterial LSU rRNA". It matches the Rfam family "Bacterial large subunit ribosomal RNA", at positions 1599 to 2925 of the family's 2925-position model. The record is from RNAcentral.